Macaca mulatta (Rhesus monkey) is the source of this 551-nucleotide non-coding RNA. The record is from RefSeq and is a predicted model, not a curated record. Lineage: Eukaryota; Metazoa; Chordata; Mammalia; Primates; Cercopithecidae.
GGGGCAGCGUCUGCUCACUGGUGUUAGUCGGAGAGCACUGUCUGCUCACUGGUAUUAGACCAACCACAAUGCUAGUGUAUUUUAGGAGCUCAAUAAAUACUUGUUGCAUGAAAGAUUCCAGAAUAAAAUAAACAAAAAUUUUGUCUACAUAAUUCAUUUUUUAAGGGAUUUUAAAUACUUAACAAAAACCAAAACAAAUUUUUAAAAAAGCUGCUCUGUAACGUGAACUGGAAACGCACAGCAGGACAAUGUGAAAGGCAGGUGCAGUGAUGCUUCGGGCACACUGCAGCCGACUCCCUGAACACCUCAUCUGCACUAUCUGACGCCCUUUGGUUUUCCUGUAUCAUCACCUACCCAGAAACAAGCCAUAUCACUCUCACCAGAACUCACAAUGCAUGGCCCACCGCAGGCUCUUGAGAAGAUGUCGAUCAAGUGCAUGAGCGAAAGAGGAGCCCUAGUGAUAUCGUGUAUCAUCAGACCAACUGUUGUGAGAACUAACGUUCAUCACGCCAGUCUCCUGCUCUAGAAUCUAUAAAAAGUUCUAACCUUCA